This 534-nucleotide ribosomal RNA is filed under the name Fusarium proliferatum. RNAcentral describes it as "eukaryotic LSU rRNA". The stretch from base 149 to 302 matches the Rfam family "5.8S ribosomal RNA". Lineage: Eukaryota; Fungi; Ascomycota; Sordariomycetes; Hypocreales; Nectriaceae. The record is from RNAcentral.
GUGCACGAAAAGUAACUCCAACCCCUGUGACAUACCAAUUGUUGCCUCGGCGGAUCAGCCCGCUCCCGGUAAAACGGGACGGCCCGCCAGAGGACCCCUAAACUCUGUUUCUAUAUGUAACUUCUGAGUAAAACCAUAAAUAAAUCAAAACUUUCAACAACGGAUCUCUUGGUUCUGGCAUCGAUGAAGAACGCAGCAAAAUGCGAUAAGUAAUGUGAAUUGCAGAAUUCAGUGAAUCAUCGAAUCUUUGAACGCACAUUGCGCCCGCCAGUAUUCUGGCGGGCAUGCCUGUUCGAGCGUCAUUUCAACCCUCAAGCCCUCGGGUUUGGUGUUGGGGAUCGGCGAGCCCUUGCGGCAAGCCGGCCCCGAAAUCUAGUGGCGGUCUCGCUGCAGCUUCCAUUGCGUAGUAGUAAAACCCUCGCAACUGGUACGCGGCGCGGCCAAGCCGUUAAACCCCCAACUUCUGAAUGUUGACCUCGGAUCAGGUAGGAAUACCCGCUGAACUUAAGCAUAUCUAAAACCGGGGAGGGGAAA